RNAcentral lists this ribosomal RNA (468 nucleotides) under uncultured bacterium. RNAcentral describes it as "partial 16S ribosomal RNA". It matches the Rfam family "Bacterial small subunit ribosomal RNA", at positions 28 to 507 of the family's 1533-position model. The record is from RNAcentral.
GACGAACGCUGGCGGCGUGCUUAACACAUGCAAGUCGAACGGAAAGGCCCUGCUUUUGUGGGGUGCUCGAGUGGCGAACGGGUGAGUAACACGUGAGUAACCUGCCCUUGACUUUGGGAUAACUUCAGGAAACUGGGGCUAAUACCGGAUAGGAGCUCCUGCUGCAUGGUGGGGGUUGGAAAGUUUCGGCGGUUGGGGAUGGACUCGCGGCUUAUCAGCUUGUUGGUGGGGUAGUGGCUUACCAAGGCUUUGAAGGGUAGCCGGCCUGGGAGGGUGACCGGCCACAAUGGGCCUGAGAUACGGCCCAGACGCCUACGGGAGGCAGCGGUGGGGAAUAUUGCACAAUGGGCGGAAGCCUGAUGCAGCAACGCCGCGUGCGGGAUGACGGCCUUCGGGUUGUAAACCGCUUUCGCCUGUGACGAAGCGUGAGUGACGGUAAUGGGUAAAGAAGCACCGGCUAACUACGUG